UUCUGGGCUGAUGGACAAUCAAUAAUGGAUUAUUCUUCGUUUGGAGAUGUUAUUUCUUUUGACACCACAUUCUCCACCAAUAAGUUUGAAAUGCCAUUUGCUCCGCUGCUUGGUGUUAACCAUCACAAGCAGACUAUUGUUUUCGGUGCUGCAAUAAUAUUUGAUGAAACUGCCGACUCGUUUGUGUGGCUUUUCAGCACCUUCCUACAAGCAAUGUCCGGUAAGGAGCCAAAAACAAUUUUCACUGAUCAGUGUGUUGCAAGUAUGAAUGCAAUUGCAGAGGUAUUCCCGAGCGCAAGCCAUCGCCUUUGUCUAUGGCAUCUAUAUCAAAAUGCCGUUAAACAUCUGAGUCAUGUUAUUGCUGAC
This 366-nucleotide ribosomal RNA is filed under the name Triticum aestivum (bread wheat). Its description in RNAcentral is "partial small subunit ribosomal RNA". Lineage: Eukaryota; Viridiplantae; Streptophyta; Magnoliopsida; Poales; Poaceae. The record is from RNAcentral.